UGGGGAAUAUUGGACAAUGGGCGCAAGCCUGAUCCAGCCAUACCGCGUGGGUGAAGAAGGCCUUCGGGUUGUAAAGCCCUUUUGUUGGGAAAGAAAUCCUAUCGGUUAAUAACCGGUGGGGAUGACGGUACCCAAAGAAUAAGCACCGGCUAACUUCGUGCCAGCAGCCGCGGUAAUACGAAGGGUGCAAGCGUUACUCGGAAUUACUGGGCGUAAAGCGUGCGUAGGUGGUGGUUUAAGUCUGCUGUGAAAGCCCUGGGCUCAACCUGGGAAUUGCAGUGGAUACUGGAUCACUAGAGUGUGGUAGAGGGAUGCGGAAUUUCUGGUGUAGCAGUGAAAUGCGUAGAGAUCAGAAGGAACAUCCGUGGCGAAGGCGGCAUCCUGGGCCAACACUGACACUGAGGCACGAAAGCGUGGGGAGCAAACA
Molecule: ribosomal RNA, 427 nt
Filed under: Microvirga ossetica
Lineage: Bacteria; Pseudomonadati; Pseudomonadota; Alphaproteobacteria; Hyphomicrobiales; Methylobacteriaceae
Also listed under: 3 other names
Description: partial 16S ribosomal RNA
Rfam family: Bacterial small subunit ribosomal RNA
Source: RNAcentral